Molecule: long non-coding RNA, 272 nt
Organism: Sinocyclocheilus grahami
Lineage: Eukaryota; Metazoa; Chordata; Actinopteri; Cypriniformes; Cyprinidae
Exons: 3
Source: RefSeq, a predicted model, not a curated record
CUUCUGUUUACCAAAGUGAAGCUGGAGGAGGUUUUGUUCGGACCCGCUGCAGCUUUACAGACCUGUACAGAAAUGCUGCAGUGGUGGCAGAGUCGCUAUGAUUUUACCCGUCUCAGUGAGGAGGAUGACACUAGCAGCAUACCUCCUGAUCCAGGCCCGCUGAGCAGGAAACCCAGCGGCCUCCAUCUCACGCUCCCAGACUUCCAGGAGACAGAGACCGGGUCUCAGAGUGCCCCGUCUCUAGCUGUGUCCCGUCUGGAGCAGGCCAUGUC